AGAGUUUGAUCAUGGCUCAGGAUGAACGCUAGCUACAGGCUUAACACAUGCAAGUCGAGGGGCAGCAUGUUGGUUGCUUGCAACCAAUGAUGGCGACCGGCGCACGGGUGAGUAACGCGUAUCCAACCUACCCUUGUCCAUCGGAUAACCCGUCGAAAGGCGGCCUAACACGAUAUGCGGUUCUCAGCAGGCAUCUAACGAGAACGAAAUGUGAAGGAGAAGGAUGGGGAUGCGUCUGAUUAGCUUGUUGGCGGGGUAACGCCACCAAGGCGACGAUUAGUAGGGGUUCUGAGAGGAAGGUCCCCANAUUGGAACUGAGACACGGUCCAAACUCCUACGGGAGCA
RNAcentral lists this ribosomal RNA (345 nucleotides) under uncultured bacterium. RNAcentral's name for it is "bacterial SSU rRNA". It matches the Rfam family "Bacterial small subunit ribosomal RNA", at positions 8 to 349 of the family's 1533-position model. The record is from RNAcentral.